ACUGAGUACAGCGGCGGACGGGUGAGUAACGCGUAGGAAUCUACCCAGUAGUGGGGGACAACUUAGGGAAACUUAAGCUAAUACCGCAUACGCCCUAAGGGGGAAAGCGGGGGAUCUUCGGACCUCGCGCUAUUGGAUGAGCCCAAGUCAGAUUAGCUAGUUGGUGAGGUAAUGGCUCACCAAGGCGACGAUCUGUAGCUGGUCUGAGAGGAUGAUCAGCCACACUGGGACUGAGACACGGCCCAGACUCC
RNAcentral lists this ribosomal RNA (251 nucleotides) under uncultured bacterium. RNAcentral describes it as "partial 16S ribosomal RNA". It matches the Rfam family "Bacterial small subunit ribosomal RNA", at positions 85 to 339 of the family's 1533-position model. The record is from RNAcentral.